RNAcentral lists this ribosomal RNA (368 nucleotides) under uncultured Rhodoferax sp. RNAcentral's name for it is "bacterial SSU rRNA". It matches the Rfam family "Bacterial small subunit ribosomal RNA", at positions 1013 to 1382 of the family's 1533-position model. Lineage: Bacteria; Pseudomonadati; Pseudomonadota; Betaproteobacteria; Burkholderiales; Comamonadaceae. The record is from RNAcentral.
UGCCCCGCGAGGGAGCCCUAGCACAGGUGCUGCAUGGCCGUCGUCAGCUCGUGCCGUGAGGUGUUGGGUUAAGUCCCGCAACGAGCGCAACCCUUGUCAUUAGUUGCUACAUUCAGUUGGGCACUCUAAUGAGACUGCCGGUGACAAGCCGGAGGAAGGUGGGGAUGACGUCAAGUCCUCAUGGCCCUUAUAGGUGGGGCUACACACGUCAUACAAUGGCUGGUACAAAGGGUUGCCAACCCGCGAGGGGGAGCCAAUCCCAUAAAGCCAGUCGUAGUCCGGAUCGUAGUCUGCAACUCGACUACGUGAAGUCGGAAUCGCUAGUAAUCGCGGAUCAGCAUGCCGCGGUGAAUACGUUCCCGGGCCUU